Molecule: transfer RNA, 77 nt
Filed under: Deltaproteobacteria bacterium HGW-Deltaproteobacteria-17
Lineage: Bacteria; Deltaproteobacteria
Also listed under: 1 other name
Description: tRNA-Ala
Rfam family: tRNA
About the family: Transfer RNA (tRNA) molecules are approximately 80 nucleotides in length. Their secondary structure includes four short double-helical elements and three loops (D, anti-codon, and T loops).
Source: RNAcentral
GGGGCUGUAGCUCAGUUUGGGAGAGCGCUAGAAUCGCACUCUAGAGGCCGAGGGUUCGAGCCCCUUCAGCUCCACCG